This 253-nucleotide ribosomal RNA is filed under the name uncultured bacterium. RNAcentral's name for it is "partial 16S ribosomal RNA". It matches the Rfam family "Bacterial small subunit ribosomal RNA", at positions 524 to 776 of the family's 1533-position model. The record is from RNAcentral.
UACGUAGGGUGCAAGCGUUGUCCGGAAUUAUUGGGCGUAAAGAGCUCGUAGGCGGUCUGUCGCGUCGGCUGUGAAAACCUGCGGCUCAACUGCGGGCUUGCGGUCGAUACGGGCAGGCUCGAGUUCGGUAGGGGAGACUGGAAUUCCUGGUGUAGCGGUGAAAUGCGCAGAUAUCAGGAGGAACACCGGUGGCGAAGGCGGGUCUCUGGGCCGAUACUGACGCUGAGGAGCGAAAGCGUGGGGAGCGAACAGG